RNAcentral lists this ribosomal RNA (460 nucleotides) under uncultured bacterium. Its description in RNAcentral is "partial 16S ribosomal RNA". It matches the Rfam family "Bacterial small subunit ribosomal RNA", at positions 338 to 795 of the family's 1533-position model. The record is from RNAcentral.
CCUACGGGCGGCAGCAGUGAGGAAUAUUGGUCAAUGGACGAGAGUCUGAACCAGCCAAGUAGCGUGAAGGAUGACUGCCCUAUGGGUUGUAAACUUCUUUUAUAAAGGAAUAAAACGAGGCACGUGUGCCUUUUUGCAUGUACUUUAUGAAUAAGGAUCGGCUAACUCCGUGCCAGCAGCCGCGGUAAUACGGAGGAUCCGAGCGUUAUCCGGAUUUAUUGGGUUUAAAGGGAGCGUAGAUGGGUUGUUAAGUCAGUUGGGAAAGUUUGCGGCUCAACCAUAAAAUUGCAAUUGAUACUGGCAGUCAUGAGUAGAGUUGAGGUAGGCGGAAUUCGUGGGGUAGCGGUGAAAUGCUUAGAUAUCGCGCAGAACCCCGAUUGCGAAGGCAGCUUACCAACCUGUGACUGACAUUGAUGCACGAAAGUGUGGGUAUCAAACAGGAUUAGAUACCCUUGUAGUC